RNAcentral lists this ribosomal RNA (428 nucleotides) under uncultured bacterium. Its description in RNAcentral is "bacterial SSU rRNA". It matches the Rfam family "Bacterial small subunit ribosomal RNA", at positions 355 to 775 of the family's 1533-position model. The record is from RNAcentral.
UCGAGAAUCAUUCGCAAUGGGCGAAAGCCUGACGAUGCGACGCCGUGUGUGUGAUGAAGGCCUUCGGGUUGUAAAGCACUUUCGCUUGGGAACAAGAGAGGAUGGUGAAUACCCAUCUGAUUUGAGGGUACUAGGUAAAGAAGCACCGGCUAACUCCGUGCCAGCAGCUGCGGUAAUACGGAGGGUGCAAGCAUUAAUCGGAUUUAUUGGGCGUAAAGGGCGCGUAGGCGGGCCUGUAAGUCAGAUGUGAAAGCCCGGAGCUCAACUCCGGAAUUGCAUUUGAGACUGUGGGUCUAGAGGGUAGGCGGGGAAAAUGGAAUUCCACAAGUAGCGGUGAAAUGCGUAGAUAUGUGGAAGAACACCGGUGGCGAAGGCGAUUUUCUAGCUUAUACCUGACGCUGAGGCGCGAAAGCAAGGGGAUCAAACAG